This 482-nucleotide ribosomal RNA is filed under the name uncultured bacterium. RNAcentral's name for it is "partial 16S ribosomal RNA". It matches the Rfam family "Bacterial small subunit ribosomal RNA", at positions 28 to 523 of the family's 1533-position model. The record is from RNAcentral.
GAUGAACGCUGGCGGCGUGCUUAACACAUGCAAGUCGAACGGUGAAGCCAAGCUUGCUUGGUGGAUCAGUGGCGAACGGGUGAGUAACACGUGAGCAACCUGCCCUGGACUCUGGGAUAAGCGCUGGAAACGGUGUCUAAUACUGGAUAUGAGCUCUUUCCGCAUGGUGGGGGUUGGAAAGAUUUUUCGGUCUGGGAUGGGCUCGCAGCCUAUCAGCUUGUUGGUGAGGUAAUGGCUCACCAAGGCGUCGACGGGUAGCCGGCCUGAGAGGGUGACCGGCCACACUGGGACUGAGACACGGCCCAGACUCCUACGGGAGGCAGCAGUGGAGAAUAUUGCACAAUGGGCGGAGGCCUGAUGCAGCAACGCCGCGUGAGGGAUGACGGCCUUCGGGUUGUAAACCUCUUUUAGCAGGGAAGAAGCUUUUGUGACGGUACCUGCAGAAAAAGCGCCGGCUAACUACGUGCCAGCAGCCGCAGUAA